GAUGAACGCUGGCGGCGUGCCUAAUACAUGCAAGUCGAGCGAACGGACGAGAAGCUUGCUUCUCUGAUGUUAUCGGCGGACGGGUGAGUAACACGUGGAUAACCUACCUAUAAGACUGGGAUAACUUCGGGAAACCGGAGCUAAUACCGGAUAAUAUUUUGAACCGCAUGGUUCAAAAGUGAAAGACGGUCUUGCUGUCACUUAUAGCUGGAUCCGCGCUGCAUUAGCUAGUUGGUAAGGUAACGGCUUACCAAGGCAACGAUGCAUAGCCGACCUGAGAGGGUGAUCGGCCACACUGGAACUGAGACACGGUCCAGACUCCUACGGGAGGCAGCAGUAGGGAAUCUUCCGCAAUGGGCGAAAGCCUGACGGAGCAACGCCGCGUGAGUCAUGAAGGUCUUCGGAUCGUAAAACUCUGUUAUUAGGGAAGAACAUAUGUGUAAGUAACUGUGCACAUCUUGACGGUACCUAAUCAGAAAGCCACGGCUAACUACGUG
Molecule: ribosomal RNA, 497 nt
Filed under: uncultured bacterium
Lineage: Bacteria
Description: partial 16S ribosomal RNA
Rfam family: Bacterial small subunit ribosomal RNA
Source: RNAcentral